GGAGCGGUAGUUCAGUUGGUUAGAAUACCGGUAUAUCACGCCGGGGGUCGCGGGUUCGAGUCCCGUCCGCUCCGCCA
RNAcentral lists this transfer RNA (77 nucleotides) under Vibrio harveyi. RNAcentral describes it as "tRNA-Asp". It matches the Rfam family "tRNA". Rfam says of the family: Transfer RNA (tRNA) molecules are approximately 80 nucleotides in length. Their secondary structure includes four short double-helical elements and three loops (D, anti-codon, and T loops). Further hydrogen bonds mediate the characteristic L-shaped molecular structure. tRNAs have two regions of fundamental functional importance: the anti-codon, which is responsible for specific mRNA codon recognition, and the 3' end, to which the tRNAs corresponding amino acid is attached (by aminoacyl-tRNA synthetases). tRNAs cope with the degeneracy of the genetic code in two manners: having more than one tRNA (with a specific anti-codon) for a particular amino acid; and 'wobble' base-pairing, i.e. permitting non-standard base-pairing at the 3rd anti-codon position. Lineage: Bacteria; Pseudomonadati; Pseudomonadota; Gammaproteobacteria; Vibrionales; Vibrionaceae. The record is from RNAcentral.